AUGUCGCGCAUCCUGAUGCAGCCAUGCCGCGUGUGAGAAGAAGGCCUUCGGGUUGUAAAGUACUUUAGAGGGGAGGAAGGGGAUAAGGUUAAUAACCUUGUCGAUUGACGUUACCCGCAGAAGAAGCACCGGCUAACUCCGUGCCAGCAGCCGCGGUAAUACGGAGGGUGCAAGCGUUAAUCGGAAUUACUGGGCGUAAAGCGCACGUUGGCGGUCUGUCAAGUCGGAUGUGAAAUCCCCAGGCUCACCCUGGGAACUGCCUUCGAAACCUGGGAUGCUAAAGUCCUGUAUAGGGCGCAUCGAAAUUCCAUGUGCAUUUGUGAAUUGCAUAAACUGCUGUAGGA
This 344-nucleotide ribosomal RNA is filed under the name Enterobacteriaceae bacterium. Its description in RNAcentral is "bacterial SSU rRNA". It matches the Rfam family "Bacterial small subunit ribosomal RNA", at positions 361 to 705 of the family's 1533-position model. The record is from RNAcentral. Lineage: Bacteria; Pseudomonadati; Pseudomonadota; Gammaproteobacteria; Enterobacterales; Enterobacteriaceae.